RNAcentral lists this ribosomal RNA (253 nucleotides) under uncultured bacterium. RNAcentral describes it as "partial 16S ribosomal RNA". It matches the Rfam family "Bacterial small subunit ribosomal RNA", at positions 524 to 776 of the family's 1533-position model. The record is from RNAcentral.
UACGUAGGGGGCAAGCGUUGUCCGGAAUCAUUGGGCGUAAAGAGCGCGUAGGCGGCCCGAUAAGUCCGCUGUGAAAGUCAAGGGCUCAACCCUUGAAUGCCGGUGGAUACUGUCGGGCUAGAGUCCGGAAGAGGCGAGUGGAAUUCCUGGUGUAGCGGUGAAAUGCGCAGAUAUCAGGAGGAACACCAAUGGCGAAGGCAGCUCGCUGGGACGGUACUGACGCUGAGGCGCGAAAGCGUGGAGAGCAAACAGG